RNA transcript from Cavia porcellus (domestic guinea pig), 5080 nucleotides. It is a transcript of the gene named cytidine and dCMP deaminase domain containing 1, with no coding region annotated. The transcript is spliced from 12 exons. Lineage: Eukaryota; Metazoa; Chordata; Mammalia; Rodentia; Caviidae. The record is from RefSeq and is a predicted model, not a curated record.
ACGCCUAUCUCUGACGUCACGAAGCGCGCCGGGCAGCGACUGCUGGACUUCGGUCGUCAUCUGGGUGCGCCGGCCUGGCCGUUGCUUAUCAGUUGCUAGGGGCAGGCUACAGCCGAGUCGCUCUGUCAGGAUCAUGCCUGACAGGAACAGAUUUCCAGGGCAGCUGAGGCCACUAGGCUUGGAUGAAAGAAGCAGGACAGAUGCAAAAUCUGGAGAGCGAGGGAGCUGGGCGAUCAGUCAGUACCCAGACGGGCAGCAUGACGGGUCAAAUACCAAGGCUUUCUAAAGUCAACCUCUUCACUCUGCUCAGUCUGUGGAUGGAACUCUUCCCAGGAGUAGAGGCCCAAAGGCAAAAAUCUCAGAAAAAUGAAGAGGGAAAGUGUGGCCCAUCAGGAGAUAAUGAAGAGAUGGCCAGUGUAUCAACUGACAAAAAACAGGUGAAGAAAACUGGUCUUGUGGUGGUGAAAAACAUGAAAAUUGUUGGUCUCCAUUGUUCUAGUGAAGAUUUACAUGCUGGGCAAAUUGCUCUUAUUAAACAUGGGUCAAGGCUGAAAAACUGUGAUCUUUAUUUUUCCAGAAAACCAUGUUCUGCUUGUUUGAAAAUGAUUGUAAAUGCUGGAGUUAACCGAAUUUCAUAUUGGCCUGCUGAUCCAGAAAUAAGCUUGCUUGCUGAGGCUUCUAGUUCUGAAGAUGCAAAGUUAGAUGCCAAAGCAGUGGAAAGAUUGAAGUCAAAUAGCCGGGCCCAUGUGUGUGUCUUACUCCAGCCUUUGGUGUACUAUAUGGUGCAAUUCGUAGAGGAGACUUCUUACAAAUGUGACUUUAUUCAAAAAAUUACAAAAACAGUACCAGAUGCUAACACUGACUUUUAUUCUGAAUGUAAACAAGAAAGAAUAAAAGAAUAUGAAAUGAUAUUUUUGGUUUCAAAUGAAGAAAUGCAUAAGCAAAUACUGAUGACUAUCGGUCUGGAGAACCUGUGUGAAAAUCCGUACUUUAGCAAUUUAAGGGAAAACAUGAAAGACCUAAUUCUACUUUUGGCCACAGUAGCCUCCAGUGUGCCCAACUUUAAACAUUUUGGAUUCUACUGUAACAAUCCCGAACAGAUUAAUGAAAUUCACAAUCAAAGUUUGCCACAAGAAAUUGCAAGGCACUGCAUGGUUCAGGCCAGAUUAUUGGCAUAUCGAACUGAGGAUCAUAAAACAGGAGUUGGAGCAGUCAUUUGGGCAGAAGGGAAAUCUAGAAGUUGUGAUGGAACGGGUGCUAUGUACUUCAUAGGAUGUGGUUACAAUGCCUUUCCUGUGGGAUCUGAGUAUGCUGACUUCCCUCACAUGGAUGACAAGCAGAAAGACAGAGAAAUAAGGAAGUUCAGAUACAUUGUACAUGCAGAACAGAAUGCCUUGACAUUUAGAUGUCAGGAAAUAAAGCCAGAAGAAAGAAGCAUGAUUUUUGUGACCAAGUGCCCAUGUGAUGAAUGUGUGCCUUUAAUUAAAGGUGCAGGCAUAAAACAAAUCUAUGCAGGGGAUGUAGACGUUGGAAAAAAGAAAGCAGACAUCUCUUACAUGAGGUUUGGUGAACUUGAAGGUGUUGGCAAGUUUACAUGGCAACUGAAUCCAUCUGAUGUUUAUGUUCUUGAAAACAAUGAGCCUGAAAGGAGAGACAACGGUGUGUUGCAAGCCACGCCCAUGAGUGAAGAGGAGCAUCUCAGCAAGAAGCUGCGCCUGGAGAAGCGGGCGGAGGGCCUGGCCAUGCUGCAGUGAGGCCUGGACUGGGACUGCGCGCCUGCACUGCAGCCUCGUGACCCAGAAAAUAAGGAAAGACUUUGUGAAUCACUGACAGGUUUUUUAGGAUAUGUUAUCAAGAAUAUUUUAACUUAGAUUUAUUUAUGUAUUUUCUACAGUAUGGCAACGUAGUCCUUUAUUAUACAAAUGAGAUAGCAGGAAUUUAAGGAGACCAAGGUACUUACCAGCAGAGACACAUUUCUGUUGAUCUUGAAUUGAUAGGACAGGUUUAAAAGGGAUUGGUUCACUGGAAGUCACACCUGAAGGUGUAACUAUAUGCCUUUUGAGAAGUAUUAAUUCUUUUGGAUUACAAGGGUGACCAUUAGUAAACUGCUCCAAAAGAUAAAUGACAAUCUGGUCAUCUUUUAAGAGUCCACAUAUAGCUAACCAAAAUGUGAUAUUUCAAUCCAAAUCUGCCUCGUAAUUCACUUAAUUAGGACUGACUCGUAAAGUUGGUGGACCUAGUCUCCAUUUUAAAAGUAUAUUUUUUCAAAUGUUAAUUUCUUGGCUGGGGGUGUAAAUCAGGAGAAUGUUUGCCCAGCCUGUGCAAGGCCCUGGGCUCAAGUCCCAGCACUGCAAAAGUAAAAUAACAUAAAAUAAAAUGUUAAUUUCUCUUAAAUAUUUCAGUAUAUGAUUCACAAAGAUGUGUUGAACUAGGACCCAGUUAUGGCACUUAUUUUUGGUAACAGAAGAAAGAGAAUAUUUUUCUGAGGCAAAAUUGCUGUUUGGUAUCACUGACACUUGAGAUCACUAACAGUGACCUUCAAGGCUGGUCAUGAUGUCACAGAGAAGAAAUAUUUUACUGUGAAAUAUUGAAGCCAACAGUUUUAGAAUUUCAUUAAUAAAUUUCAUUUAUUUUCCCUUUCCUAUUACUAACAUGGCUUUGACCUUAAAAAAGAAGGCCUACCUGCCUUGCAAGCAGAUGGUCGUGAGUUCGAUCCCUGGUACCGAUAAAAAGGAAAAAGACAAAAAAAAAAAAAAAAGAAGGCCUUUUAAGAACCUUUGUAAGCUUUAAGAAUACUGAAAGUCUUUGAAGUAAACAGAUCCAUUUCAAAUUGACCUUUAUAAUUUCUCUCAUUUUGAUUUGCUGAGUAACUUUUAGAAAAUUUGAAUCAAAAGAUGAGCAUGUGAUCUGUACUUUCCUAGGGUUCUGGAGGGAGGCUCACAGACCUGGGGAGUGGCAUCCUGAGAAACAGCUCCCCUGCCUGUGUGGAGAUGAAAAUGUCCUCAUUUAAACAAGGUCCCUUCAGUCAUCCUGAGUGACAGUCAAAUGGUGGGUUUUGAAUGAUACUGUACAAUGACCAGAGUAGAUGACAGAGCAGAAAUGAGAAAGGCCAGCUGAAGGUGGAGAGCUACAGAGUAAGUUUUCUAAGGAAGAGAUGAGGAAAAAGUAUUCAAGGCAAAGCAGUCAGUUCCAGGUCUUGUGUAAUUUCCUGCCAGCAAAGGAUGAGAACCCAGGAGGCUGGGAGUCAAGAACAUUUAUGAGGGGUGUGUGCUGCUGAGCCUCUGCUCCAAGUGGAGUCCUGACAUUUACACAGAUGCCUGACUUUAGUCGAGACCUCGUCCAAGAACAUCGUGAGCUCAGGCCUGCUGGUUGCAUUCCAGGACCCUGACACCGCAGGAGCCUCCCAGGCGGCCGCGGGGAGAGCACCACAUACUUCCCUGACCUUUCCCAGAUUGCAGCCUGGGCGAUGAAGGAGAGAAAAAGAGGAGCUGGGCCUCAGACCACCGUGGGUUUCUAUCUAGUAUGUCCCAUCUUAGAGCUUGGAUAGACUUCUUAGAAUUCCCAUGUCUUCCAAGAUUUAAUAGAAUGUGGAAAUCUAGUGUCUGGUGAGUGGCACUUGAUCAAAGGCGCUCAUCACUUGGUCAAUGGGAUGUGGACAGGGCCAUGGAUGGAGUGGGGUUUUGGGGUACCCAGCACCCCACCACAACUGACCCAUGUUUUGUCCUUGUUUGUAGUGUUGACAAAAACACAACUGCAUAACCAACAUUCAGGACAAUGAAAACAACCAGAGAGUAUAUGUAGUACCUUUUUAUUUAGCCUUAAACAUGUGCUUUGGGGAUAGUUUAUUAAAUAUGACCUUUUCAAAAUUAGUUCUCACACUAUAUACAGUGAUCUUUGUGCAAACAUAUUUUGACUGUGAGCUUCCUGCUCCCCCUUUUGAGUUAAUAAUUUACAAACUGACAUCACAAUAAAAACCCAGCUACUUCAUUUACUGGGUUGGAGACUAUAAUUUUCAAACAUGGUAGGUACGGAGCUAGAAUAAGGGAAUGCUAUGAAGGGCUAAUUCAAGCCAGCAUAAGUAGUGUGUCUAUCAAAAAAGAAUGAUCACCAGGCCUUACUUUCCAGCAGAAAACAUAUGUCUCAUGAUGUUACGAAAUAGUAUUAAGCAACCACACACACUUUCAAUUACUGUUUCACCUUCAUUUAAAAGUAUUUACACUCAGUCAAACCCAGAAAAGUCAAACUCAAAGGGACUCUGGACUGCCAAGGAAUGUUAUAAAGAUAAUCUGGCAUCAGGGGCUUAGACACAGGGCAUCAGGGGCUUCCUGACUCUCCUCGAUGGCCCUGGCCAGGGCUGCGACUGGAAGUUGUGGCAGGUCAGCACCGUCUGCCUCAAGCUGCACUCUGGGCACAAAAACAACACUUGAGUCCCAGCCAGGCCGCGGGAUUCCCAUCAGGUAGUUCUUCAGGGACAAAGUCUAUAGAGGGGACUGAGCCUGGAAAACAUAGUUCUUUUUCCCUCUCUGGGAAGAGAAAAAGCUGGCUGAAGGAAAAAAGAAGCCCCCAAGUAUAAAAACUGAGGGUUUCAAUGGAUGUCAAAACUCAUGGUGUAACAGAAUUUUAAAAUUAUAAUUACAGCCACAAGUUUUUUUAUAUAUUUGGUACCUGAAAAGAAACUGUGACCUUUUUAAAAUUUAUUUUUGUUCCUAUAUCAUGUUAUGGAAUAAUAUUAAGCCACCAAAUACACAGAUAAACUCCUUAAUUACAGUAUGCAGGAGAGUAUUUGGGACCAAAAUUUUUAGAUUUUUUUUACAUUAUUACUGAAGACUUUGAUGAGAAGUUAAAGAAUGAAAGCUUAUCAGAGAACAAACUGGAAAAAAUGUCUAAUCAUUUGAGAUGCACAAAUGAUUUCCCUUUCCAUGGGCAUUACCACCCAUGGAUACAAGCUCCCUACCAUAACUCUCUGGACCCAUGGUUUGUACCCAAUGUAAUGAUUCUCACCCUGAAAACACUGUCUUUACAAAGCAUUCUUCCUGUAUUGCCAGUUAAGAAUAAAAUAUCCCGACAUCAUUGACCUCUA